AUGGAAGGGAUUGAUUUAUUGGUUAGAUCCUGCUGGUGUAGAAAAUAAAGUGCGUCAAAAUGCUCGUAAAAUUAUUUAUGAGGGGCUUGUGAAGUUUAGCAUGGUCCAUCGAAAGGAUCUCAAAAAAAUUAAAAAGAAUCCUAAAGUUGGUUGGAACAAACUGAAAUGUCCUCGUCAACCUCAAGACGCCAAAUACUGUGGAUAUUAUGUAUGCCGUUAUAUGCUUGAGACUAUUGAAAGUAGGCAACAAUUGAUUUUGGAGGAGGUAAGUAUUCGUCAAAAAUUUAUAUCAAACAUUAUGAUAUUGGUAUUGAAACACAAUGACAUUUGGAUAUAAUAUUGAUGGAUUGGAUUUUCGGCAUCAAUGUUUACCUUCUUUUUCU
Molecule: long non-coding RNA, 383 nt
Organism: Amaranthus tricolor (Joseph's coat)
Lineage: Eukaryota; Viridiplantae; Streptophyta; Magnoliopsida; Caryophyllales; Amaranthaceae
Exons: 3
Source: RefSeq, a predicted model, not a curated record